This 450-nucleotide ribosomal RNA is filed under the name uncultured bacterium. Its description in RNAcentral is "partial 16S ribosomal RNA". It matches the Rfam family "Bacterial small subunit ribosomal RNA", at positions 338 to 795 of the family's 1533-position model. The record is from RNAcentral.
CCUACGGGGGGCAGCAGUAAGGAAUAUUGGACAAUGGGCGCAAGCCUGAUCCAGCCAUGCCGCGUGCAGGAUGACGGCCCUAUGGGUUGUAAACUGCUUUUAUACGGGAAAAAACCCCUCUACGUGUAGAGGGCUGAUGGUACCGUAAGAAUAAGGAUCGGCUAACUCCGUGCCAGCAGCCGCGGUAAUACGGAGGAUCCGAGCGUUAUCGGGUUUUAUGGGGUCGAAGGGGGAUUUAGAAGGAUGUGUAGAAGUCCUGCAGCUUAACUGUAGAACUGCCAUUGAUACUGCAAGUCUUGAGUACAGAUGAGGUGGGCGGAAUGUGUAGUGUAGCGGUGAAAUGCUUAGAUAUUACACAGAACACCAAUUGCGAAGGCAGCUCACAAAACUGUAACUGACGCUGAGGCACGAAAGCGUGGGGAGUGAACAGGAUUAGAUACCCCAGUAGUC